UGCAUAACACAUGCAAGUCGAACGAUGAAACUUAGUAGACUUUUUCGGAAAGACACUAAGCGGAUUAGUGGCGAACGGGUGAGUAACGCGUGAGUAACCUGCCUUACACAAGGGGAUAGCCUUUGGAAACGAAGAAUAGUACCCUAUAAAACCAUAAAAGCACAUGCUAGAAUGGUCAAAGUGCUAGCGGUGUAAGAUGGACUUGCGUCUGAUUAGCUAGUUGGUGAGAUAAAAGCUCACCAAGGCAACGAUCAGUAGCCGGCUUGAGAGAGUGUACGGCCACAUUGGGACUGAGACACGGCCCAGACUCCUACGGGAGGCAGCAGUGGGGAAUUUUGCACAAUGGGGGAAACCCUGAUGCAGCGACGCCGCGUGAUUUAGAAGGCCUUCGGGUUGUAAAAAUCUUUUGUAUAGGAAGAAAAUGACAGUACUAUACGAAUAAGGUCCGGCUAAUUACGUGCCAGCAGCCGCGGUAAUACGUAAGGACCGAGCGUUGUCCGGAAUCAUUGGGCGUAAAGGGUACGUAGGCGGCUAGAAAGGUUAGAAGUCAAAGGCUAUAGCUCAACUAUAGUAAGCUUCUAAAACUAUUUAGCUUGAGAAAUGGAAGGGAAAGUGGAAUUCCUAGUGUAGCGGUGGAAUGCGCAGAUAUUAGGAAGAAUACCGGUGGCGAAGGCGACUUUCUGGCCAUUAUCUGACGCUGAGGUACGAAAGUGUGGGUAGCAAACAG
Molecule: ribosomal RNA, 727 nt
Filed under: uncultured Eubacteriales bacterium
Lineage: Bacteria; Bacillati; Bacillota; Clostridia; Eubacteriales
Description: bacterial SSU rRNA
Rfam family: Bacterial small subunit ribosomal RNA
Source: RNAcentral